GUGCAGUCCUCCACAGAGGCUGAGGAGAGGCCAGCGGAUAGAUCCAUAAAGAAGAAUGCAGAGGUGAAGGAUACUCAACAGAAUGCUGUCCUGAUGUGCAUGAAGCCCUGGGUUCCGUUCUCAGCACCAAAUAUACUGGGCCUGCUGGUAUAAGCUGGUGAUCUCAGCACACAGGAAGUGAAGGCAGGAGAGUCAGAAGGUAUAUAAACUAUUUAUUAAGAGCAAAGGCCCAGAGACUCAUUUCUUCUUGGAUACACCCACAGUUUGGCCCCUGCGGCCAGUGGUCUUGGUGUGCUGACCGCGGACACGAAGGCCCCAAAAGUGGUGCAGCCCUCUAUGGGCUCGAAUUUUCUUCAGCCGCUCCAGGUCCUCACGCAGCUUGUUGUCUAGACCGUUGGCCAGAACCUGGCUGUACUUCCCAUCCUUCACAUCCUUCUGUCUGUUCAGGAACCAGUCUGGGAUCUUGUACUGUCGUGGGUUCUGCAUGAUGGUGAUCACUCGCUCCACCUCGUCCUCCGUGAGUUCUCCAGCCCUCUUGGUGAGGUCGAUGUCUGCUUUCCUCAACACCACAUGAGCAUAUCUCCGCCCCACGCCCUUAAUGGCAGUGAUGGCGAAGGCUAUUUUCCGCCGCCCAUCGAUGUUGGUGUUGAGUACUCGCAAAAUGUGCUGGAACUUCUCAGGGAUCACUAGAGACAUGGCGGCGGCACAGACGGCGGCGUGUAGGCCUCCUGUGGAAGAGCGGUUUAUUUCUUUAUCACUCAUUAGCUCCAGUUCUGUAUAGGUCUGGUUUUUGUUUUUUGUUUUGUUUUGUUUUGUUUUUAAUUGUCCUCGGUUUGAUGAUCCACAUCAGGUUCUUUCCUAUCAAGGGCAGAGGCUAAGAUUCAGUUUUCGCUUUGUUUUCUUUUAUAUUUAACAAGAGCUGUUGGCUUGUGAUGACUUUGCUGUGUUCGGUACACUUGCCCAUCUCACAGGAUAAAUGGAAGUUCAAACACUAUCAGGAUAGACCUACAGGCUAUCGGCUGUCCUUUUGCUGUCCUUUUGUGUAUUGGUUAUUAAACACGUAGAGUUAUG
Mus musculus (house mouse) is the source of this 1071-nucleotide long non-coding RNA. RefSeq annotates it as ribosomal protein S18, pseudogene 4. Lineage: Eukaryota; Metazoa; Chordata; Mammalia; Rodentia; Muridae. The record is from RefSeq and is marked validated. The transcript is spliced from 3 exons.